RNAcentral lists this transfer RNA (72 nucleotides) under Clostridiales bacterium. Its description in RNAcentral is "tRNA-Gly". It matches the Rfam family "tRNA". Rfam says of the family: Transfer RNA (tRNA) molecules are approximately 80 nucleotides in length. Their secondary structure includes four short double-helical elements and three loops (D, anti-codon, and T loops). Further hydrogen bonds mediate the characteristic L-shaped molecular structure. tRNAs have two regions of fundamental functional importance: the anti-codon, which is responsible for specific mRNA codon recognition, and the 3' end, to which the tRNAs corresponding amino acid is attached (by aminoacyl-tRNA synthetases). tRNAs cope with the degeneracy of the genetic code in two manners: having more than one tRNA (with a specific anti-codon) for a particular amino acid; and 'wobble' base-pairing, i.e. permitting non-standard base-pairing at the 3rd anti-codon position. Lineage: Bacteria; Bacillati; Bacillota; Clostridia; Eubacteriales. The record is from RNAcentral.
GCGAACGUAGUUCAGUGGUAGAACACCACCUUGCCAAGGUGGGGGUCGCGGGUUCGAACCCCGUCUUCCGCU